Molecule: ribosomal RNA, 400 nt
Filed under: uncultured bacterium
Lineage: Bacteria
Description: bacterial SSU rRNA
Rfam family: Bacterial small subunit ribosomal RNA
Source: RNAcentral
UGGGGAAUAUUGGACAAUGGGGGGAACCCUGAUCCAGCGAUGCCGCGUGUGUGAAGAAGGCCUGAGGGUUGUAAAGCACUUUCAGUGGGGAGGAGUGUUUAUUGGUUAAGAGCUGAUGAACUGGACGUUACCCACAGAAGAAGCACCGGCUAACUCCGUGCCAGCAGCCGCGGUAAUACGGAGGGUGCGAGCGUUAAUCGGAAUUACUGGGCGUAAAGGGUGCGUAGGUGGUACAGCAAGUCACAUGUAGAAGCCCUGGGCUCAACCUGGGAAUGUCGUGUGAUACUGUUGAACUGGAGUACGGGAGAGGGCAGUGGAAUUUCCGGUGUAGCGGUGAAAUGCGUAGAUAUCGGAAGGAACACCGGUGGCGAAGGCGGCUGCCUGGCCUGAUACUGACACU